GAUGAACGCUGGCGGCGUGCCUAAUACAUGCAAGUCGAGCGAACAGACGAGGAGCUUGCUCCUCUGACGUUAGCGGCGGACGGGUGAGUAACACGUGGAUAACCUACCUAUAAGACUGGGAUAACUUCGGGAAACUGGGGCUAAUACCGGAUAGGAGCUCCUGCUGCAUGGUGGGGGUUGGAAAGUUUCGGCGGUUGGGGAUGGACUCGCGGCUUAUCAGCUUGUUGGUGGGGUAGUGGCUUACCAAGGCUUUGACGGGUAGCCGGCCUGAGAGGGUGACCGGCCACAUUGGGACUGAGAUACGGCCCAGACUCCUACGGGAGGCAGCAGUGGGGAAUAUUGCACAAUGGGCGGAAGCCUGAUGCAGCAACGCCGCGUGCGGGAUGACGGCCUUCGGGUUGUAAACCGCUUUCGCCUGUGACGAAGCGUGAGUGACGGUAAUGGGUAAAGAAGCACCGGCUAACUACGUG
Molecule: ribosomal RNA, 470 nt
Filed under: uncultured bacterium
Lineage: Bacteria
Description: partial 16S ribosomal RNA
Rfam family: Bacterial small subunit ribosomal RNA
Source: RNAcentral